Molecule: small RNA, 88 nt
Filed under: Arabidopsis thaliana (thale cress)
Lineage: Eukaryota; Viridiplantae; Streptophyta; Magnoliopsida; Brassicales; Brassicaceae
Description: ATSL103800
Source: RNAcentral
CAACAACAAGAGGACGAAGAAGAAGAAGAAGAUUGUUACUUUCUUGAUCGAUAAUGGCGUCGAAUGAAGCUGGAAGGGCAUUGCCGAA